RNAcentral lists this unclassified non-coding RNA (204 nucleotides) under uncultured Auriculariales. Its description in RNAcentral is "sequence contains ITS2". The record is from RNAcentral. Lineage: Eukaryota; Fungi; Basidiomycota; Agaricomycetes; Auriculariales.
UAAACCUCACCGCUUGUGAUGUCAAAGUCGCUCGGGGUGGACUUGGACCGUGCCGUAGUUGGCUCGUCCUGAAAUGCAUUAGCCUGGUCGGCGUUACCGUUGCUGGCGGCCGUGGUGUGAUAAUCCUAUCUGCGCCUGUAAGUGCCGUGUCGGUUCUGCCUUGACCGGCUCACAGUCGUCCGAGAGGACAGAUGAAACUUGACA